GUAACUUUUUUCGAGAAAUAACUUUUUUUCAUCAUACACGUGUGAGAUUUGCGUCAUCGCUCAUUAGUGAGCACUUGCUCGUCCCGAGUUUUGAGAACCUAGUUUGCAAACUUUUCUUUUUGGUUAACGCUCCCAACACUCGGGUUGAAGUACGCAUCCUACUUUAGAGAUAGAAACAUGUGUUUAUCUAUACAUCAACAGGUGUUUUAUCUCUAAACAUCUUGAGAAAUGCCUCUUUAAUCUGCUGAAUAUAUCCAAUAAUUUUACCCUUGAAUCAUUUUAUUAAGUGUCAACUACUUUGAAGUUGUUGCAGGAAUUCUUCCUAUAUUUAAUUACAAGCUAUUAAAAAUGACAUUCAUCCAUCUCUUGCAGUGCCUGCAAUAACGGAGUUCUUUUAAUUUAUACAGUUGCUUCAAGACAAGAAGGUACUACUUGUUUCAGCUUUCCAAUCUCUAUGCUAAUCUAAAGGCCACAUAGGCUUCCUCGAACAAAAAAUGCUGCAAGUAAAGUUUACUUUUCUCUUGUUCCUUGGCGUUUAGUCAGAGACUGCACCAGAAAAUAAAAUCAAAAUUAUCAUUCAGCAUUAGCCAUUAAUCUAAGGCUCUUGUUUUAAUGCUAAUUUUUAUUUUUAAAUCUAUACAAUUGACCUAAUGUGAAAUGCCCAAAUGAUGCCUAUGGUUAUGAUUCAAUCUGCCUAUACGAGUAUGAUUAUGCACGUUGAAUUCAUGCCAUUACAUCAAAUGUGUUUAAGCACUUGCCUCUAGUAAAAAUUUAAUACAUUUUCAGCAAAAAAGAAUUGGCUCUCAACACAAAAAAAAGUGUGGGUGGGGGGACAUGAGCUAGAUCCAUAAAAACCUGGGGUUUUACGACAGCUCGCUCUAAAUUGCAGCAUCAAACAACAAAAUAUUUUCUUUCGCGAGUCACCAAAAUGUCAGCAGCAGUGCCUUUUUUUUUUAUUAAGAAAUGUCCCUUCCUUUCACGAGCUUCGUCCAAUUGUAUUCGUUCUAUGUCGGUAGAGCCCACACAAUCCCCAUUCCUUCGUAACAGCCAGGAUUCAUCAUCGCCCAGUUCUCAUAUCUUUGGGUCCAUCAUCGCUUUUGCGCAGCCUAGUGAUGAAUUAUUACAUAUUUGAUGAUGCUGCUGCUGCUGUGGCUAAAGCUGUUUUGUCGUGAGGGAGAAUGCGAGUAAACGGGAGGGCUCGUUAUUGUUAUUGGCCUAUCAGUCGUUUGUGUCUGUUGCUGCUGUUAAUAUUAUUUAGGUCAUCCUGUUGUGUGCCUCUGUUGGAUUUCGCUUUUCAUUUCAGCACCAGUAGAAUUAUAUGUUUAUGUACACAGAGUGGGCUCGUCCAUCACGACACGCGGCUGCAACAGAAGCAGCAAUCCAAUUUCCCGUCGUCUGUGUGUGUGUGUGUGUGGCAACGUCCUUUUUCGCUGUAAUAGUUCGACUAUAGACUCGAUGUAGGAAAUAGGAAUUCCCAGCCCUGAACUCACGAGCUCUCGAGAUAUACACACUAUAUUACUUUGACUGUAUAGAGACGUUAUAUAGCAAUUGAUAUUGGGAGUCUUGAAGAAGAAAAAAAUGCACUUUUUUUUUUUCUUUUUGCUUGAACGUUUAUACAGGGAAAAGCACUCGAGUUUGAUUGCGCUAGAAAGAGCUGAGCAAGCGGGAGCUAUAUAUGGGGGUGGGCGAUUUCGGUUGUAUAAAGGAGACAAAGUCAAUAAAUAAAAUAGUUACUUUUCUUGAAAAAUCCAAUUGUGAAAUGACACAACAACCGCAGCCGGAGAAUAGUCGAUAGAAAUCAUCCGCACGCGGAGUUAAAAUUACGGAUUAAUAUUUUUCAUUCGCUGAAAAUAUAAAAGUCGCUGGACUUUUUUAUUUUCUGUUCUCAGAUUUGAUUGUGGAUCAAUUUCCUGCAGAAAGGCUCCUCCUAUAUGUCGUAAAAAUAAAGCUGACGUUGUUGUGUUUGUUGUGCUCUUCUCCUGUAUAGCCCACGGCCGAACCUUUUCUAAACAGUAUCUCAUCUGGUCAAUUGUUGAUCCAGCGUACACACACAAAAGCCCCCCGUAUCCUUUUUUAUUUUUUUUUAUUUAAGAGUAGCAAGACCAGCAAGUUUAUAUUAUUAUAUGUACAGAGGAGAGCUAUAUCAAAUGUUCCAGUCAACUGGAAUCUUUUCUAUAGAGAGAGAAAGGGAGGGUUGCUUUAUCAAUGUUGAUCCAGGAUGGCAUCUAUGGAGACAUUUGGCGUUGAUUGACUAGACAAGAGGCUAGGAGAGAUUCUCAAAUGUUAUGCAGUAAAUGCAAUAUAGUGUAUACGCAAAGCCUCGGAAUGUUUACGCUCUAGAAGAAAGAAAAGAGACAAGGAAAUCUGAUUUUUCUUUUUUCUCUCUCCUGUCUGCCUUUUCAAAUGUUCACUCCUUCACUUCCUUUUGUUGCAUGCGCAGAAAGAACAUUGAAUCGAAAACUGUUGAAUCGAGAAAGAAAGGGCCGUACCACAAUACGAUUCCCGCAAAGUAGGGGUCGUUUGGCUUGUGGUAAAUGUUGGGACAAAGUCAUGAGCAAGACGAAAACCCUCAAUCCUUUCAUUUUCAAUUUGCUAAAUGGAGCGACCGUUGUAAGUCUGCUGGUCGAGCAUAGACCUUGACCAUUUGAGUUCUUUUUAACAAUUUAUUUUCUUUUAUUAUAUGUGGACAUAUUCCUUUAUAGGCUUUCUACCCGUGUUCUUGACGUCUUCACCGAUUGUUAUAGCAUUCAGUUCAAAGAAGACGAACAAGUUUAGCCUUCACGACCUGAAAGAAAGACGUCGUCAAAUUGGCAAUUUUGAUAUUCUGUUUUUUUUAUAUAUUUAUUUAUUUAUUCGUUUUUCUAAAGGCCACGUUUUUAUCCCCCCGUUUUAUUGAUUUUCUUUCGUCUGCAUACGUCUGAAAGCGGCCGUUCUAUUCAGGAAGGAACAAGCAACGUUGCCGUCAUCGUCCAAGGUUUCCCAUGAUGAAUAUACAAUGAAACCUCGUCCAGUUCAUGGGAUUGCCCUAGAAAGAACAAAACAACGAUCCAUACUGUUUCGAAAACAGGUUUAUCCCUAGCUCACCACCCCAGGACAACGUAAGGGAAAGGUAUAUGUCGCCAUCUUGGCACAGAUAUGCCGAGAUGUGCAGUCCUCUGUGUAUACGGUCGUGUUAUUCGCAGGACUAGGAAAUUCCGCGAAAUUGGGAAAAAAGAAACUCACCAAAUCGAUCAGCUGUGACAGAUGGAGACCAAGGCGGACAGUGACCACUUCGCUGUUAUUACUAACAGGUCGAAUAAGCCGAUUGUAAUGACUCAGCAGAUCAUCGUAGAGUCUUUUGGCAUCAGGAUUGGCUUCAGAUGGCCUGAUGACGACCACACUAAUGAACAGGGUCGUCACUAUCAUCUGGCUGAAGGCAACAACGGUCCGGCAACUCUGUCUGUCCAACAACAUGUCGACCAGCUUUUUCCCUCUGCACUCGCUCUUGUUUUGGUCGUCUGUUAUUGUCUUGUGCGUGGAUUGUCUUGCUUUAUUCUUCUUCUAUUCCCCCUUUAGUUGUAGGAAAGCUCAACAGGCCGGCUUCUCUUGUUCGGCGUUGAUCUUGGGGUCAACAAAGGUGGACGUCUGUGGUCCCACUGCUCAAAACACUGAGGGGAGGAGUCGAAGGCCGUAUAUCUUGAACCAAAGAGAAUAAUAAUGGCCGAUCGAGUUCUAUAGGGAUACACUGUUCUCACACGAAGGAGCUGCACAUGCACUAAAGCAUUCGGCUAUCUGGUCGGUCACUUGAAGAGUUUGUUGUCAACACACAAGCUGGCCAGAAACACAGGUUGCACCAACCGAUGGGAAGAUUUCGCUGGAUGCUGUGUAGACACGUCAGGUGGCAUCAGUAUGGUACGGAUGAAACAGCCGCCAUGAACGCCGCCAUCGAAGGAUGAGGCGCACGCACACACUCGCUACACACACACACACACAGGGAGGAAGGCUUCACGCACACACACAGAGGCAAAAAUGUGGCAUAAAAGGGGGGAGGCAGUGUGUGGGUUGUCAGAAGCUCCUGGGAUGGUCAGAUCUCAGGAGAAAAAGACUAAACUAGUAGCUGGAACGUCGAUGGUGGCGCUAUCGUUUGCGACUUGCGCAAUUGAUGGCAAUCGGUUCGAUAUUUUACUAAACAGUUUUGGCCAUCCUUCGUUUAAUGUCAACUUCUGCAGGGCAAAUCAAUCAAUUUCCUUAUUGAUUUGA
Daphnia magna is the source of this 4239-nucleotide long non-coding RNA. RefSeq lists it as uncharacterized. The record is from RefSeq and is a predicted model, not a curated record. The transcript has 4 exons. Lineage: Eukaryota; Metazoa; Arthropoda; Branchiopoda; Diplostraca; Daphniidae.